GGCAGCAGUGCCAGUGUUAUGGCUUCCCGGGUAAAAAUAAAUUAUACAUGAAAAAAGACCACCAGACUUCACCGUCAAUCGCAUCACCAGCGACAAUCAGAAAUACAGCCAGACUCUAAAGGCAUUUCCACUUAGUAUCUCCAAGCAGCUGUGGGACAUCAUUGGAGACCCACCAACACAAGAUAAGUAUCAAACUUUAAAAAACACUAUCCUUGAACGCUUCUCUGAGUCGAGACAAACCCAGUUACAGAAAUUGCUGAAAGAAAUGACACUUGGCGACAGGAAACCCUCGCAACUUCUCCGAGAAAUGUGCGAUCUGGCAAAAAACAGCAAUGACAGAUGAAGCAUUGUACCAGCUGUGGAAAGGACGCCUUCCGGCAUGGGUACGUCCAUACCUAACAAUGUCAAACAACUUUGAGGAUCUCAACAGUCUAGCAGAAAUGGCAGACUGUAUUUUGCUUCACGCUAGCAGCAGUCACGUCAUGGCCAUCCACCCGCGUGACACAACGCACACAAAUCACCAUUCAUCGAGCUUAUCAUAAGUCGAAUGCCAGCUCUACGAGAUUAACCUCACUCUCAAAACCUGUCAACAGGAUAUAAGCUGCCUGCAAGCGAACCAGCAGAAAAUCCAGGCACAGUUACAACACACACUACAACAACCAAAACAAUUACACACCAGUUUUCAACUACAAACCCAUCAACAUCAACAAUAUGGACAGCACUUCUAUAGACAUCAUCCAAGAACCAGCCGUGCAAAUUCACGUCCUCACCACCAGGUAAACAGGGAAAUUAGACCCGCAAUUAGACCCUAAUUGGGGCAGUUGGUGACAGCGGCUGCAAACUGUCACCCAAAGAACUCCGCCUGCACAUUCAUGACUUUACUACUAAUCAAAAAUUUUUGAUAGACUCUGAGUCCGUGGUGUCUGUAAUCCCAGCAAAAUACUUAAAAACAAACAACUAACAAAGGACCCGCUCACACUGUAUGCAGCGAACACAUCAGCGAUUCAAAUUUACGGCUGUAAAACUCUCAAGAUCGAUCUCAAUCUACACAGAACUUUCUCUUAGUCAUUCAUUAUCACGGAUAUACAAACUGCGAUAAUCGGGGCGGAUUUUUUGACGCACUUCAACCUACUCAUCGACCUGAAAAAUCAACGGCUGAUAGAUCCUCUUACCUCACUCUCGACAAAAGGAGAAACUUUGACUAGCUACACCUACAAUAUAUCAACCAUCGACUCAACUUUACCUCCGGCGUACGACAGCUCAGACAACUGGAGUACAUCUCUCAAUUUUCCACGGACGUAGUCUACGUGAAAGGCGAGGACAAUGUAGUCGCAAACGCUUUAUCACGCAUAAACACCAUAGAGAUACCAACCGUACUCAGCCCAGUAACCAUAUACAAUGAACAACUCAAUGAUGAAGAAUUACCAGAUCUGAUCCAGAACUCAACAUCAUUGCAUCUUCAAGAACUAGAGAUCAAACAAGGCGUAAAAAUCUUCGCAGACAUCUCAUCAGGGGUCGUAAAACCGUACAUUCCAGCUUCACUACGCAGAUCCGAAUUCAACACAAUUCACAGUUCAGCACAUCCCAGUGGUAGGACCACCUCAAAUCUGCUCCGUGAAAAAUUUUCCUGGCCGGGCAUCCGCAAAGACGCAACACAAUGGGCUCAAGAGUGUCUUGCUUGCCCAAGAGCAAAAAUUCACCGUCAUACUAAACUCCAACCGAACCACAUCGAAGUUCUGACUCCAGAUUCAACCAUCUACACGUUGACAUUAUUAUACUACCAAACGUCUAAGGUUAUCAAUAUUGCUUAACCAUGAUUGACCGUUUCUCAAGAUGGCCGGAAGCAAUUCCUAUCAAAGACAUGGCCGCAGACACAGUGGCAACGACAUUGUUCAAUCACUGGAUCUCUCGCUAUGGCUCCCCUAUCACCAUUACAUCAGACCAAGGAAUUCAAUUCGAAUCUGCGUUAUUCCAAGCUCUCACUCAACUCGUCGGAGCUAAGAAAACCCGCAUGAUAGCAUACCACUUUCAGUCAAAUGGCAUCGUCGAACGUAUGGACAAAAUCUUGAAAGCAGCACUCAUGUGCUCACCGAAACCUUGGAUUGACAUACUUCCAACUGUACUACUUGGUCUAAGAACAUCAAUCAAGGAAGACAGACUACUCCAGCAGAGAUGUUAUACGGAAAAUGCCUGAGAAUACCUGGAGAGUUCUUCGUCUCAUCGGAUCUACCAUCUGAUCCACAAAUAUUCGUCGAGAAACAUCGAGAAUAUAUGCGUGGCAUCCGUCUAACACCUACAGCACACCACGACAAAUCUUGUGUCUUCACACUGAAAGACCUCAAGGACUGCUCACAUGUCUGGUUACGCUGUGACCACGUUAAAGCUCCGCUGGAGCCUCGGUGUCAAGGCCCGAGAGUCGUAGAACGACUCUCCGAUAGACUGUUUUAAAUAAAUGUCGAUAAAGAAGAAAAAAACGUCUCUAUUGACCGACUAAAACCCUGCGAUAUUAAUAAGACUGACCAAGACUACGUUGAAGAACCAUCGUCAAAGUCUCAUCAACUCGAGCCACAUCAUUGGGACUCACCUAUGGACAAGCCGUCUCGCACUUAUAGUCGCACCGUGACUUUUAAACCACCCGCCAAAAGCCACUCGGGGGGUAAAUGGUUGUGGCGGACUCGUAGCCUCGCUCACGCCUCUACUGCCGAGUUCACCAACGAAAGCCACCAAGACGCCACCCUACCGACCGAAAUAAAAACACACCAUGGAGAAUAGAGACUCUGUCUCUAUUCUCCAUGAAACACACCUAAUGAAAACACACUAGCGCCAAACACAACACACAUAUACACCAGCACAUACACUCCGUCGCUACAGCUCUAGCAUCAUUACAUUCUUCACCCGACAAGUGCAAUUAUAAAAACCCUAGUGAAAUAUUUAAUUAAAUAAUAUAUUGUACAACAUCGGCCAAAAAUUCUUGCGUGGUAGUAUAGAAUCGGGAAAACAGAUUUGUCUCUAAAUAAAAAUCUGUCUAACUAGUUUUCUACAAAUCACAAAGUAUAGAUACAAGGAGUCCGAACGUAAUGUGAAAAGCAUGGAGAAUAGAGACAAGGAGCCCGAACUUAUGAUUUACGAGUAGCAUGGAAGACGAGACGCCGGCGAGCAGUUCUAUUAUAGAUGUCAUCCUUAUAGCGUAGGCUGUAAUCAUUGUGGAAAGGGAGAAAAAUAAUUUUGAACACUUUUGUUGCACAGAGUGUCGGUUAGUUUAGGCAAAACUACCUCUUGGACGGGUGGACUGUAUUUUUUUCAUUUUUAUUAUUGUACAUUGAGCUAAAAUAAUCCCGAUAAUGUACGGCUCAAUUGAACCGCUUAUAUCAAUUACUGAAAAUGUAUUACACUGCAAUAUCAAUGAGAAUUUUUACACUUUUCAACAAUUAAUUGAGGAUGUAGAUAAUAUUCCGAAACCAUCGAAAACUUGGUUUAUCUUUAAAUUCGAAAAACUCCUACUGUUCAUGGAAAUAUUACCCAAUAUAUAUAGUGAACGGAAAAAAAUUAUUAUCACUGAUUCAAUGAAAGUGAAAUAUUACUAUAAAACUAAACCAAUUACUUGGCUUAAGAGUGGAGAAAUAAGUAGCAUCGAAGAUGUUAAGCGAGUAAUCGACCUAUACGAUUUUCUUGUAUUUCCUGAAAAUUUAGUAGACUAAUAGUAACCUUACUAAACAUAUCCAUAAUUUAUCGAUACACUGAGAAAAAAAAAUACUAUUUUCCAAACAAGAAUUUCUUGGUUCAAGAAACCCGUUAAAAAUAUUCAUUUUAUUAUUAUUAAUUAUCAAUUUCUUGAGAAAAGAGCAUCAAAUUUAUUUUUCUUAUUAUAUGAAUUUGAUAUUAUAUUAUGAGUAAACAAAAGAAUAGCUUUACUUGAAUUAAAUAAAAAUUAUUUCCUUCAAUUCUACGAAUUCUUGAGACAAAAUUAUAUAUUCUUGAAAAUUAUCAA
Long non-coding RNA from Microplitis mediator, 3988 nucleotides. RefSeq lists it as uncharacterized. The record is from RefSeq and is a predicted model, not a curated record. The transcript has 3 exons. Lineage: Eukaryota; Metazoa; Arthropoda; Insecta; Hymenoptera; Braconidae.